ACGGAAGGCAGCAGUGAGGAAUAUUGGUCAAUGGGCGGAAGCCUGAACCAGCCAAGUCGCGUGAAGGAUGAAGGUAUUAUGUAUUGUAAACCUCUUUAGCUGUGGAGCAAUAAUCUCCAUGUAUGGAGAGAUGAGAGUACACAGAGAAUAAGGAUCGGCUAACUCCGUGCCAGCAGCCGCGGUAAUACGGAGGAUCCGAGCGUUAUCCGGAUUUAUUGGGUUUAAAGGGUGCGCAGGCGGCUUUCUAAGUCAGUGGUCAAAUCGUGGUGCUCAACGCCAUCCCGCCAUUGAUACUGGAGAGCUUGAUUGCGGUCGAGGUUUGCGGAAUUCGUCGUGUAGCGGUGAAAUGCAUAGAUAUGACGAAGAACACCGAUUGCGUAGGCAGCAGACCAGGCCGUAAAUGACGCUCAUGCACGAAAGUGCGGGGAUCGAACAGGAUUAGAUACCCUGGUA
RNAcentral lists this ribosomal RNA (453 nucleotides) under uncultured Porphyromonadaceae bacterium. Its description in RNAcentral is "partial 16S ribosomal RNA". It matches the Rfam family "Bacterial small subunit ribosomal RNA", at positions 341 to 792 of the family's 1533-position model. The record is from RNAcentral. Lineage: Bacteria; Pseudomonadati; Bacteroidota; Bacteroidia; Bacteroidales; Porphyromonadaceae.